Molecule: ribosomal RNA, 497 nt
Filed under: uncultured bacterium
Lineage: Bacteria
Description: partial 16S ribosomal RNA
Rfam family: Bacterial small subunit ribosomal RNA
Source: RNAcentral
GAUGAACGCUGGCGGCGUGCCUAAUACAUGCCAGUCGAGCGAACAGACGAGGAGCUUGCGCCGCUGUCGUUAGCGGCGGACGGGUGAGUAACACGUGUAUAACCUACCUAUAAGACUGGGAUAACUUCGGGAAACCGGCGCUAAUAGCGGAGAAUAUAUUGAACCGCAUGGGUCAAUAGUGAAAUACGGUUUUGCGGUCACUUCUAGAUGGAUCCCGGCCGCAUUAGCUAGUUGGUAAGGUAACGGCCUAUCAAGGCAAGGAUGCGUAGCCGACCUGAGAGGGUGAUCGGCCACCCUGGAACUGAGACACGGUCCAGACUCCUACGGGAGGCAGCAGUAGGGAAUCUUCCGCAAUGGGCGAAAGCUUGACGGAGCAACGCCGCGUGAGUGAUGAAGGUCUUCGGAUCGUAAAACUCUGUUAUUAGGGAAGAACCAAUGUGUAAGUAACUAUGCACGUCUUGACGGUACCUAAUCAGAAAGCCACGGCUAACUACGUG